This 763-nucleotide long non-coding RNA is filed under the name Trifolium pratense (red clover). Its description in RNAcentral is "long non-coding RNA (TPRA_LNC004312)". The record is from RNAcentral. Lineage: Eukaryota; Viridiplantae; Streptophyta; Magnoliopsida; Fabales; Fabaceae.
AGAGCAUAAAAUAGCCAAACAUAUUACAUGAAUAACUAUUACAGUCAUAUAUGGUCGCAAAAAACAAUGGAACAGUUUAAUCUCCACUGUUUGGUACAUUGUUGAUACCCUACUUGUCGGGCCAACAUGUCUUAAUUGGUCCCUCUUCAGUUUCUCAUGUGCUUAUCUUCUUGCUGCCUUAUCUACCAUACUUGUAAUCCUUACAACAAAAUUCAUUAACCACAUCAACAGUUAGUUAGAUGAGUAUUUUCGUAGACAAAUGUUACUCGAUAAUAUUUUAGUUGCAGGGAUCGAAUCCGAACAUUCUUCAUAAUACUUCUUCAGUAUCUCAAUUCAUAACAUUAGCUACACCUUCAAAGUUGUUAGAUAAGAUAACACUAGUGAUGUUUUAAAUUUGAACCAAAUUCCUUUAAAAUUUAACAAUCACAUGAUCUUAUCUGACUCUGAGAUAUUAGUAAAGUACACUUGAAUAUUAAGCUUAUGCAAAAACAUUUCUAUAAAAAAAGUUUAUACAAAUUAAAACAAAAAUUCAUCAACUAGCCCCUCCACAUUUGAUUCCAAAAAGAACUUUCUUAAACCUACCUUUUUUAUUUGUGUAGGAGACAAAAAAAAAGAGUUAAAGGAGAGAGGGAAACAAAUAUUUGCACCACUUCUCUCUUUAUUUAUACUUUUAUUACCAUACAAUUAUUGGUCGACUAAAUUGCAGUUGCGGUUAUGCUGCAAAUUUUUUUAUUAUGGAAAAUUGCGGUUGAAAUUACAGUUG